RNAcentral lists this long non-coding RNA (937 nucleotides) under Olea europaea subsp. europaea. Lineage: Eukaryota; Viridiplantae; Streptophyta; Magnoliopsida; Lamiales; Oleaceae. The record is from RNAcentral.
CAAUGAUGUAUCUAAGAGAAUUUAUCUCCCUUCGCCUCGCAAACUAGAUACCUAAGUGGAGGACAGUCUCAUAUGCCCAAAUCAGCAACACAUACAUACAAUUAUUAUAUAUAAAUUUAAUAUAAAAAAUAUUUUAACGUUGAUUAUAUUAAAUAUUUAACUGCACCGUCAAGGUCAAUCCAUAAGUAUCGUAUUGACAAAUGGACCUCUUAGGCUUCGAAUGUGUUCUGGUGAAAACAUGUAUGAUGUCUUCAAAAUAUCUCCGACCCCACAGAUAGUUGUUGAAGGCAUUGAUAUUGUUAAUAACUUCUAAAUGGAAAAAGUCAAUUGCAGUCUUCUUGUGAUGACAUUGAACCUUGCUCUCAAAAAUAUAGAUUAGUCAUAGUUUCAAUCCGUCUAACAUCUGAUCGCACUCCCUGAUUACACCCAAUCAACUGAGGUAGAAGCACCUUUCCUUGUCCCUAAAAAUAUGCGUCUUGCAACCUAUUGUUUCUUUGAAUACAAUCAUGAGUUGCUUCAUCGUAUAUGAUCUUCAGUCAAGCCAUCAGAGCAAACUCAAAUAUGGAGAAAAUAACGACCUUGCCCCCAGGGUCAAAGUAGAAGGAAUCGCCAUUGUUUGCCUAAGCAUCCGACAGAGUAUUGUAUCAAUGAACUGUCUAGAGUACUGCACCUCUCUCAACUAAUACUGGACUAGAGGAAUGACUGGCAUAGCAUAUCCACGUGCUAAUCAUCCAGCAACUUCAAUACGGUAGUGAAACAAUCAAAGCUACUAUUCCAAGUAGCUUUUCCUAUUAUCCGUCUCAACUUCGAAUCUAGAUGAUACUACAUCUUGGAAAAAUUCAAAUGUUAGAAUAUUGAACAAGAGAUAAUGAAAUAAAGCAUAAUCUCAUAAAAUUAAGCGGACCGAUUUAUAACUACGUACGCAAGAUGUAAAGUC